AAAGGGCACAACCUGACCACAGCCACCUACUAUCACCUACUAUUUUCUUCAUGGCUCGUUCCACUGCCUUUCUCUUGCUGGCGGUCCUUCUGACUGCCAUGGCGCCCCGGAUUGACUCCGCCCUGGGUUGUGGCCAGGUUGUGCCCUUUUUAUCCACCUGCGUCAACUAUGUUAGAGGCCGCGGGCCGCUUCCCGGUAGUUGCUGCGUUGGGGUUAGUCGGCUCAAAUUCAUAGCAGUCACGACCCCUGACCGCCAGACUGCUUGUGGCUGCAUCAAGAGCUCCCUUAGCUCUAUCUCCGGCAUCAACCUCAACCUUCUCGCGGGGCUCCCACAGAAAUGUGGUGUUAGCAUCCCCUAUGCUGUCAGCCCAUCCACUGAUUGCUCUAAAGUGCAUUGAGCCAAUCUGCUACUUAUGCUGCUUAAAAAUAUUGUUCAGAAUAAUGCAGACUUUGUUUCUGUACAAGGUCGUACCAGUGUUCUUUGAGGGUGUCAUGUCGUUGCUGUUUAUCUUUUUUUGAUGUUGCUUUUUCAGUCCAUAUUUUACUGCUAUGUAACAUGGUAAUAUCGUACCAUUGCCUAUGUAGUAUGAGUUGCUGGUUACUAUAAGUCAAAGCACUCUUU
This 622-nucleotide unclassified non-coding RNA is filed under the name Hevea brasiliensis (rubber tree). Lineage: Eukaryota; Viridiplantae; Streptophyta; Magnoliopsida; Malpighiales; Euphorbiaceae. The record is from RNAcentral.